Molecule: transfer RNA, 73 nt
Filed under: Ailuropoda melanoleuca (giant panda)
Lineage: Eukaryota; Metazoa; Chordata; Mammalia; Carnivora; Ursidae
Rfam family: tRNA
About the family: Transfer RNA (tRNA) molecules are approximately 80 nucleotides in length. Their secondary structure includes four short double-helical elements and three loops (D, anti-codon, and T loops).
Source: Rfam by way of RNAcentral
ACCUAUCUGGCUCAGUCGGUAGAGCAUGAGACUGUUGGUCUCAGGGUUGCGAGUUUGAACCCCAUGUUGGAUG